GGGAGGCAGCAGUGGGGAUAUUGGACAAUGGGCGAAAGCCUGAUCCAGCAAUGCCGCGUGAGUGAUGAAGGCCUUAGGGUUGUAAAGCUCUUUUACCAGGGAUGAUAAUGACAGUACCUGGAGAAUAAGCUCCGGCUAACUCCGUGCCAGCAGCCGCGGUAAUACGGAGGGGGUUAGCGUUGUUCGGAAUUACUGGGCGUAAAGCGCGCGUAGGCGGACUAUUAAGUCAGGGGUGAAAUCCCGGGGCUCAACCCCGGAACUGCCUUUGAUACUGGUAGUCUAGAGUUCGAGAGAGGUGAGUGGAAUUCCGAGUGUAGAGGUGAAAUUCGUAGAUAUUCGGAGGAACACCAGUGGCGAAGGCGGCUCACUGGCUCGAUACUGACGCUGAGGUGCGAAAGCGUGGGG
RNAcentral lists this ribosomal RNA (405 nucleotides) under uncultured Paracoccaceae bacterium. RNAcentral describes it as "bacterial SSU rRNA". It matches the Rfam family "Bacterial small subunit ribosomal RNA", at positions 343 to 766 of the family's 1533-position model. The record is from RNAcentral. Lineage: Bacteria; Pseudomonadati; Pseudomonadota; Alphaproteobacteria; Rhodobacterales; Paracoccaceae.